UACGGAGGGAGCUAGCGUUGUUCGGAAUUACUGGGCGUAAAGCGCACGUAGGCGGCUUUGUAAGUUAGAGGUGAAAGCCCGGGGCUCAACUCCGGAACUGCCUUUAAGACUGCAUCGCUUGAAUCCGGGAGAGGUGAGUGGAAUUCCGAGUGUAGAGGUGAAAUUCGUAGAUAUUGGGAAGAACACCGGUGGCGAAGGCGGCUCUCUGGACCGAUACUGACGCUGAGGCGCGAAAGCGUGGGGAGCAAACAGG
RNAcentral lists this ribosomal RNA (253 nucleotides) under uncultured bacterium. Its description in RNAcentral is "partial 16S ribosomal RNA". It matches the Rfam family "Bacterial small subunit ribosomal RNA", at positions 524 to 776 of the family's 1533-position model. The record is from RNAcentral.